GUGGGUAUAGCUCAGUGGUAGAGCCCAGGCUUAGCAUGCAUGAAGUCCUAAGUUCAAUCCCCAGUACUUUCA
Molecule: transfer RNA, 72 nt
Filed under: Camelus bactrianus (Bactrian camel)
Lineage: Eukaryota; Metazoa; Chordata; Mammalia; Artiodactyla; Camelidae
Also listed under: 1 other name
Rfam family: tRNA
About the family: Transfer RNA (tRNA) molecules are approximately 80 nucleotides in length.
Source: Rfam by way of RNAcentral